AUUGAACGCUGGCGGCAGGCCUAACACAUGCAAGUCGAGCGGAUGAAGGGAGCUUGCUCCUGGAUUCAGCGGCGGACGGGUGAGUAAUGCCUAGGAAUCUGCCUGGUAGUGGGGGAUACCGUCCGGAAACGGGCGCUAAUACCGCAUCCGUCCUGAGGGAGAAAGUGGGGGAUCUUCGGCCCUCACGCUACCAGAUGAGCCUAGGUCGGAUUAGCUAGUUGGUGGGGUAAAGGCCUACCAAGGCGACGAUCCGUAACUGGUCUGAGAGGAUGAUCAGUCACACUGGAACUGAGACACGGUCCAGACUCCUACGGGAGGCAGCAGUGGGGAAUAUUGGACAAUGGGCGAAAGCCUGAUCCAGCCAUGCCGCGUGUGUGAAGAAGGUCUUCGGAUUGUAAAGCACUUUAAGUUGGGAGGAAGGGCAGUAAGUUAAUACCUUGCUGUUUUGACGUUACCAACAGAAUAAGCACCGGCUAACUUCGUG
RNAcentral lists this ribosomal RNA (484 nucleotides) under uncultured bacterium. RNAcentral's name for it is "partial 16S ribosomal RNA". It matches the Rfam family "Bacterial small subunit ribosomal RNA", at positions 30 to 507 of the family's 1533-position model. The record is from RNAcentral.